RNAcentral lists this ribosomal RNA (1395 nucleotides) under uncultured Synechococcus sp. RNAcentral's name for it is "bacterial SSU rRNA". It matches the Rfam family "Bacterial small subunit ribosomal RNA". The record is from RNAcentral. Lineage: Bacteria; Bacillati; Cyanobacteriota; Cyanophyceae; Synechococcales; Synechococcaceae.
UUCGGGUUAGUGGCGGACGGGUGAGUAACGCGUGAGAAUCUGCCCUCAGGAGGGGGAUAACGGCUGGAAACGGCCGCUAAUACCCCAUAUGCCGAGAGGUGAAACGAAUUUCGCCUGAGGAUGAGCUCGCGUCUGAUUAGCUAGUUGGUGAGGUAAUGGCUCACCAAGGCUUCGAUCAGUAGCUGGUCUGAGAGGAUGAUCAGCCACACUGGGACUGAGACACGGCCCAGACUCCUACGGGAGGCAGCAGUGGGGAAUUUUCCGCAAUGGGCGCAAGCCUGACGGAGCAACGCCGCGUGAGGGAUGAAGGCCUCUGGGCUGUAAACCUCUUUUAUCAAGGAAGAAGAUCUGACGGUACUUGAUGAAUAAGCCACGGCUAAUUCCGUGCCAGCAGCCGCGGUAAUACGGGAGUGGCAAGCGUUAUCCGGAAUUAUUGGGCGUAAAGCGUCCGCAGGCGGUCUUGUAAGUCUGUUGUUAAAGCGUGGAGCUCAACUCCAUUUAAGCAAUGGAAACUACAAGACUAGAGUGUGGUAGGGGCAGAGGGAAUUCCCGGUGUAGCGGUGAAAUGCGUAGAUAUCGGGAAGAACACCAGUGGCGAAGGCGCUCUGCUGGGCCAUAACUGACGCUCAUGGACGAAAGCCAGGGGAGCGAAAGGGAUUAGAUACCCCUGUAGUCCUGGCCGUAAACGAUGAACACUAGGUGUCGGGGGAAUCGACCCCCUCGGUGUCGUAGCCAACGCGUUAAGUGUUCCGCCUGGGGAGUACGCACGCAAGUGUGAAACUCAAAGGAAUUGACGGGGGCCCGCACAAGCGGUGGAGUAUGUGGUUUAAUUCGAUGCAACGCGAAGAACCUUACCAGGGUUUGACAUCCUGCGAAUCCCUUGGAAACUUGGGAGUGCCUUCGGGAGCGCAGUGACAGGUGGUGCAUGGCUGUCGUCAGCUCGUGUCGUGAGAUGUUGGGUUAAGUCCCGCAACGAGCGCAACCCACGUCUUUAGUUGCCAGCAUUGAGUUGGGCACUCUAGAGAGACUGCCGGUGAUAAACCGGAGGAAGGUGUGGAUGACGUCAAGUCAUCAUGCCCCUUACAUCCUGGGCUACACACGUACUACAAUGCUACGGACAAAGGGCAGCAAACUCGCGAGAGCUAGCAAAUCCCAUAAACCGUGGCUCAGUUCAGAUCGUAGGCUGCAACUCGCCUACGUGAAGGAGGAAUCGCUAGUAAUCGCAGGUCAGCAUACUGCGGUGAAUACGUUCCCGGGCCUUGUACACACCGCCCGUCACACCAUGGAAGUUGGCCAUGCCCGAAGUCGUUACUCCAACCCUUGUGGAGGAGGAUGCCGAAGGUGGGGCUGAUGACUGGGGUGAAGUCGUAACAAGGUAGCCGUACCGGAAGGUGC